RNAcentral lists this ribosomal RNA (234 nucleotides) under uncultured bacterium. RNAcentral's name for it is "partial 16S ribosomal RNA". It matches the Rfam family "Bacterial small subunit ribosomal RNA", at positions 118 to 351 of the family's 1533-position model. The record is from RNAcentral.
UGAGUAACCUGCCCUUAACUCUGGGAUAAGCCUGGGAAACUGGGUCUAAUACCGGAUAUGACUCCUCAUCGCAUGGUGGGGGGUGGAAAGCUUUUUUGUGGUUUUGGAUGGACUCGCGGCCUAUCAGCUUGUUGGUGAGGUAAUGGCUUACCAAGGCGACGACGGGUAGCCGGCCUGAGAGGGUGACCGGCCACACUGGGACUGAGACACGGCCCAGACUCCUACGGGAGGCAG